Molecule: long non-coding RNA, 861 nt
Organism: Oreochromis niloticus (Nile tilapia)
Lineage: Eukaryota; Metazoa; Chordata; Actinopteri; Cichliformes; Cichlidae
Exons: 3
Source: RefSeq, a predicted model, not a curated record
AAAAAUAAUCGGUGACUAGUCGACUAUCAAAAUAGUCGUUUGUGGCAGCCCUAAUUCAGACACAUGGUAGAUCUAGACUUUAACAGCUGUAUUGUUUCAGAGAUGUCAGUAUAUUAUGUAAGUAUUAUCCAUCACUGACAGAGAACGAAAAUAAACAAAAUAUGUGAAAGUGGAAUUUGAGAGCUGUGUGCACACAAAGUGUGCUCUAUCGUGUGGACCAAUCUCUGUGCACCAACUACUGUUUAUUAUCUGUUUGUAUCGUGUGUGUGUGUGUGUGUGAGAGAUGUAAUGAGCAACAACAGAGCCUGUCCCACCAACACUCCACCUUAACUUUCAUUAAAAUAUCGACAACAGAAAAACGCAGGAUUCAGCUCUCAACAUUCGGAGGUGACGAGCUUCACACAGCAGAGUUUCUCAUCCAGAUCAAGCAUACCGAAUCUGCUCAUACAGUCUGCAGGGAGCGGGAGCCACACGUUUGCCAGCCUCGGCCCAAAGCCUUGGCAGGGCACUAACAGCUGUGAGCCGCCCCCCUGUGGUUCUGGCAUUUCUAAUAAAUCAAUGAGUGAAGAAAAUUCACUGAGCACUCUGUCCUCUCUGAUCCCGGGCCUCCUUAGGGCAACUAUCGCAGCCACAACCAGCGCAAAACCCUUAAGACACCACAUUUUUACAACAAUGUAGAUGAUGAAACACCCAAAUGCUGCGGUUUUUACACUGAGGACCACUAUUCUUUUUGAAGAGACUUCUUCUUAUACCCAGCCAUGUUGCUGAACGGUCACCAAUUAAACUAAUUAGGUGUGUUAUGUUGCACCAGCAUUACAUAACCUGUCCCCUGCUUCCUGGAUGUGUUACUCACAUUAAAUU